UAACUGAAGAGUUUGAUCAUGGCUCAGAUUGAACGCUGGCGGCAGGCUUAACACAUGCAAGUCGAGCGGGGGAAGGUAGCUUGCUACCGGACCUAGCGGCGGACGGGUGAGUAAUGCUUAGGAAUCUGCCUAUUAGUGGGGGACAACAUCUCGAAAGGGAUGCUAAUACCGCAUACGUCCUACGGGAGAAAGCAGGGGAUCUUCGGACCUUGCGCUAAUAGAUGAGCCUAAGUCGGAUUAGCUAGUUGGUGGGGUAAAGGCCUACCAAGGCGACGAUCUGUAGCGGGUCUGAGAGGAUGAUCCGCCACACUGGGACUGAGACACGGCCCAGACUCCUACGGGAGGCAGCAGUGGGGAAUAUUGGACAAUGGGGGGAACCCUGAUCCAGCCAUGCCGCGUGUGUGAAGAAGGCCUUAUGGUUGUAAAGCACUUUAAGCGAGGAGGAGGCUACUUUAGUUAAUACCUAGAGAUAGUGGACGUUACUCGCAGAAUAAGCACCGGCUAACUCUGUGCCAGCAGCCGCGGUAAUACAGAGGGUGCGAGCG
This 545-nucleotide ribosomal RNA is filed under the name Acinetobacter baumannii. RNAcentral describes it as "bacterial SSU rRNA". It matches the Rfam family "Bacterial small subunit ribosomal RNA", at positions 1 to 540 of the family's 1533-position model. The record is from RNAcentral. Lineage: Bacteria; Pseudomonadati; Pseudomonadota; Gammaproteobacteria; Moraxellales; Moraxellaceae.